GUGAACGCUGGCGGUAGGCCUAACACAUGCAAGUCGAACGGCAGCACAGUAAGAGCUUGCUCUUACGGGUGGCGAGUGGCGGACGGGUGAGGAAUACAUCGGAAUCUACUUUUUCGUGGGGGAUAACGUAGGGAAACUUACGCUAAUACCGCAUACGACCUACGGGUGAAAGCAGGGGAUCUUCGGACCUUGCGCGAUUGAAUGAGCCGAUGUCGGAUUAGCUAGUUGGCGGGGUAAAGGCCCACCAAGGCGACGAUCCGUAGCUGGUCUGAGAGGAUGAUCAGCCACACUGGAACUGAGACACGGUCCAGAAUCCUACGGGAGGCAGCAGUGGGGAAUAUUGGACAAUGGGCGCAAGCCUGAUCCAGCCAUACCGCGUGGGUGAAGAAGGCCUUCGGGUUGUAAAGCCCUUUUGUUGGGAAAGAAAAGCAGCAGGUUAAUACCCCGCUGUUCUGACGGUACCCAAAGAAUAAGCACCGGCUAACUUCGU
RNAcentral lists this ribosomal RNA (490 nucleotides) under uncultured bacterium. RNAcentral describes it as "partial 16S ribosomal RNA". It matches the Rfam family "Bacterial small subunit ribosomal RNA", at positions 29 to 506 of the family's 1533-position model. The record is from RNAcentral.